Molecule: long non-coding RNA, 367 nt
Organism: Spodoptera frugiperda (fall armyworm)
Lineage: Eukaryota; Metazoa; Arthropoda; Insecta; Lepidoptera; Noctuidae
Exons: 2
Source: RefSeq, a predicted model, not a curated record
CCAUGGAUAAAAGAAAGAGACUGGAUUGGCCUUGUGGGCGGGCCACGCGCGCCGAGGGUGCGAACGAACGUGCAUAGCGCUGUCUUAACGCUCAAAUGUUCAUACUUACCGGCUAGCAAUCGCUGUCAUGUUUUGACAGCGUACGUAUCUCCGCAAAAAUAUUAUAUUAUGCCGUCUUGCGCUAUUGUAACGUGUCGGAAAAGAAGCCAGGUGUGUAGCAUAGCACGAGAAGGAAUUUCUUUUCACCGGUUUCCAACAGAUCCAGGUGUAAGAAAAUUGUGGAUUGACACAACUGGUAGAAUUAAUUGGAUUCCUACUAAAUGUAGCAUAAUUCGUUCGCAACAUUUCGAUGUUGAUAAUUACAUAA